GCGCGCGAAGCAAACGAGGAAUUGCACCGGACUUUUAAUUCGGAUACGGUCGGUUCGAAUCCGACCGCGCGCACCA
RNAcentral lists this transfer RNA (76 nucleotides) under Candidatus Elarobacter sp. RNAcentral's name for it is "tRNA-Lys". It matches the Rfam family "tRNA". Rfam says of the family: Transfer RNA (tRNA) molecules are approximately 80 nucleotides in length. The record is from RNAcentral. Lineage: Bacteria; Bacillati; Vulcanimicrobiota; Vulcanimicrobiia; Vulcanimicrobiales; Vulcanimicrobiaceae.